CCAUCUUCUAAAAUUUUGCUUCUUCUCCACAUCAUCCUGAUCCUGGUUAUCUCAGCUGAACAGAGAGCUGGGAUCUCUCCCAGCUUGUUUUCUCGCCUGGAUGGGAAAGCCUGAGGCCAUCGGCGGGGUUCACAUCCCUACAGCCUGCUGCAGGCUGGCAGGUGGCAGCACGCCGGAGCCCCUCGCCCCAUCUCCCAAAUGCUCCAUGGACAAGUUAAAGCUUUCAUGGCUGCUUGUGCAGGGGUAAAGGCUGUCCCAGUUUCAGUUUAAAUCCAUCAGGAUGCCAUCCCACAGCCACAGUAAAUAAAACCUCUGACCUCACUUCCCCAAAGCCAAGGUGGGCAGUUGUCCCUAUGGCUGCUGCGUUGCACCAGCAACAUGGGCAGAGUUGCUGCAGUAUUUUGCACCCCCAGACCUGGGACUCUGGCAGCCUGGAUUACCUCUCAGAGACCACUGAAAAGUUUUUAGGGAUUGUCCCAGUAAAAUGAGUCUAAAACCCACAGUUCUGCCACGGCUUUCAUAUACUUUGCUUCCCAAGACAAAGGUUGU
Long non-coding RNA from Oxyura jamaicensis (ruddy duck), 549 nucleotides. RefSeq lists it as uncharacterized. NCBI's taxonomy places the organism in Eukaryota, Metazoa, Chordata, Aves, Anseriformes, Anatidae. The transcript is spliced from 2 exons. The record is from RefSeq and is a predicted model, not a curated record.